CUCCGUUCAGAUAUUUCUAAGUUUCUGGGCGUCCUCUCUCUACUCUACCGCUCUCAUUUUUCUUCCUCUCAUCUCUCUACCUUAUCCUUUCCUUUGGAGCGCUAGGGAGCGAAUGCCGCCGCUGCGGGGCGCAUAGGAGCUGCAGCUCCGCCAGCAUUUCCAGCGAGCCCUCAACCACACAGCCUUCAGGGUCGUAGCAGUCUAGCAGAGCAGAGCGCGCCGUGUCCAUGGCCGUCGCUGGCACGCGGGCCUGCCUGCUCAUCCCCUCCUGCGGCUCCUAGCGCUCCCGCCUCGCCACCGCCGCCCAUGCGGCUCCCUCGCCUCGUCGGCUGCCGUGGGCAGGGGGCGGCUCCGGGUGCGCAUGGCAAGGACGGAGUCCACCGGUGUUGCCGUCGGCUUCCGCGCGCCGCAGUUCAAGCUCCCGGAACCGCUGACCGGGAAUCUCUGGACGUUGGAUGAUUUCAAGGGCAACCUGGCGCUGCUGGUCAGGCACAGCAGCUUGCCGCCGGAGUUCUUCUCUAGCCCCGUCGUGGAUAAUGCAAGACGCUGCUGAAGCUAACGAUCCCGCGGAUCAAGCUGCUGCGGAACCGGCGGGAGCUGCAGCUCCGCCAGAUGCGGAGGGACAUCGCCAAGCUCCUCGAGGCGGGGCAGGAGGCCACUGCCGGCCACCGCUGCGGGAGACGGACUUGGGUGAUUUUUUCCUUCUUUUUUGAACUUUUCUGAAAUAGGGAUGGUAUGGAUUGUAUCGAUCUUGUAAAUGAUUUGUGGGAUCUAUAAAUUUUGUAUCGAUCGAUUCAGUAUUUGUGUUUGAUUCUUCGAAUGAUUUGUGGGAUCUGUAAAUUUUGUAUCGAUAGAUUCAGUAUUUUGUGGUU
Long non-coding RNA from Panicum virgatum (switchgrass), 872 nucleotides. RefSeq lists it as uncharacterized. NCBI's taxonomy places the organism in Eukaryota, Viridiplantae, Streptophyta, Magnoliopsida, Poales, Poaceae. The transcript is spliced from 3 exons. The record is from RefSeq and is a predicted model, not a curated record.